AAGUCGUAACAAGGUCUCCGUUGGUGAACCAGCGGAGGGAUCAUUACUGAGUACUACACUCUCUACCCUUUGUGAACUAUUAUACCUGUUGCUUCGCGGCGCCCGCAAGGGUGCCCGCCGGUCUCAUCAGAAUCUCUGUUUUCGAACCCGACGAUACUUCUGAGUGUUCUUAGCGAACUGUCAAAACUUUUAACAACGGAUCUCUUGGCUCCAGCAUCGAUGAAGAACGCAGCGAAACGCGAUAUGUAAUGUGAAUUGCAGAAUUCAGUGAAUCAUCGAAUCUUUGAACGCACAUGGCGCCUUCCAGUAUCCUGGGAGGCAUGCCUGUCCGAGCGUCGUUUCAACCCUCGAGCCCCUGUGGCCCGGCGUUGGGGAUCUGCCACGGCAGGCCCCUAAAACCAGUGGCGGACCCGAAGGGCCCUCUCCUUUGCGCAGUAGCAUUCGCCUCGCAUCGGGAGUCCUCGGCGUCCUGCCUCUAAACCCCCCACAAGCCCGCUUCGGCGGCACCAAGGUUGACCUCGGAUCAGGUAGGAAUACCCGCUGAACUUAA
RNAcentral lists this ribosomal RNA (550 nucleotides) under uncultured fungus. Its description in RNAcentral is "eukaryotic LSU rRNA". The stretch from base 185 to 338 matches the Rfam family "5.8S ribosomal RNA". The record is from RNAcentral. Lineage: Eukaryota; Fungi.